UUAAUAACGGUGGUGGUAGGCAUUUCUUGCUGAGAGAUAUGUAUGAUGAUAUGAUGCUGGAUGGAGUACAGCCAACUAGGGAAACAUUCCAUUCUGUCAUCAGUUAGUGGAAAGGUGGAUAAGCAAAAUGCUCAUUUCUUUGGUGUUACGAUCAACGAGCAACAAGCCGAGUGUGGUAUUGUAGUAAGAGUUACUUCAAAUGCACAAAGCAAAUUUAAGUUACUUUAUUUCGAGCAAGAUGUGAAUGGCGGUUAUGGUUUGGCCCUACAGAAUGUAUGCAGAAGAAAGAAGUUACUACUUUUUCUCUAGGUGAUUGAUGAAAUAGAUGGAGCUCUUGGUGAUGGCAAAGGUGCUGUGGAGGUUAUUCUAAAGAUGAUAAGAAGGCUCUCUAAAACCCUGCAGUUUUCUCUCUGAGUCGCCUCUUCACCAUCUCCUUCAAAACGCGCAGUCUCCACGCUUACAAUCCGGCCGAUGCGAAAGGAAACAGAGGGCUCCUAAGGUCUGGUUAUGGAUAAAGAGAUGGAGGGGAAAAUUCCCCUAGAAAGUUUAUCAUUCAUAUGGAGUUUCGUUUUCAUGAUUCCCUGGAAAAUGGUACACCCGAAAGUUUAUCAUUCAUAUGGAGUUUCCUUUUCAUGAUUCUUUUCAUGCAAACUAGAUAGUAUUUUUUGCUUAUUGACAGCUAGUUGCUAUCUGCAGGGUUCAUAUAUUUGUUCAACCAACAGUUAAUCGUGUUGUCAGCAGGUGAUCCUUGACUACCAUGACUGAUGUUUAAUUGCUGUGACAAUUUCAAGCCUUUCCAUUUCUGAUGGGGAACAUUGGGUCAAGUUGGGAUUGAUACCAACAGAGGCUUUUGUAGGAACUGUAAUAUUCUCUAGGAGCUGUAAUAUUCUCUAGGAGGUGUAUUCUCUUGUUUUAAUUCAUAAAACACUUGUACAAUUUCCUCUUGCUAAUUCAGAUUUUGUUUUUAGUUUUUGUACUUGAUUCUCGUGUCAAUAUGAUGUGUAAGGAUCCAAUUUCAUUAUUAAAUUCUCCAUAUUAUUUGAUACGUGGAGAAGCAAUA
Molecule: RNA transcript, 1060 nt
Organism: Ziziphus jujuba (common jujube)
Lineage: Eukaryota; Viridiplantae; Streptophyta; Magnoliopsida; Rosales; Rhamnaceae
Gene name: chaperone protein dnaJ 15-like
Exons: 5
Source: RefSeq, a predicted model, not a curated record